Long non-coding RNA from Canis lupus familiaris (dog), 2025 nucleotides. RefSeq lists it as uncharacterized. The record is from RefSeq and is a predicted model, not a curated record. The transcript has 5 exons. Lineage: Eukaryota; Metazoa; Chordata; Mammalia; Carnivora; Canidae.
GUGCGGCCACCGUGACACCUGCGGCCCCGCGGGGUUGAAGGGCCGCGGGCAGGGACAGGCAGGGACAGGGAGGAGCGAGGGGAAUCGGGGGCAGCGGGUCCCACCGACUCCCUGGGGCCCGGCCGGGCGGGCUCCCACCAGGUUCUGGAGGGAAAGGAUCAGAAAGUCCCAUCAGGGGAGGGAAGGCCUUCCUGGGAGUCGCCCUGUUUCCAUUACUGCCAACACGGUGGGAAGAAGGUACAAAGUAAGUAAGAAACAGGAGAGCUGAAUCCAGAUGCAUCCAUGAAUGGAACCUAAGAGGUCAAUACCAAGAAGCCCUCCCGCUGCAUCACGUAGUGAGAUGCAUUAGCUCUGUAAGGAACAACCAGGUGGCCUCUGCAGACCCGCAACAGUGUGUGACAGCUGGUGUUGCUCCCCAUCCUCGCUGUUCCCGAUUUGGGCUCUUCCAGGUACCCAGAAGGGGAUUUUUGUCUGGUACUUAUGUGGACCCCUGGCUGAGAUCCCCGUGGCAGAUCUCACAAUAUCCUGACCCCCGUCUCCAUGCCUGGGUCAGCCUGGAGCUUUCGUGUCUCAAAGCUGUCCCCACCGAGCUACUGGGAAUUCGUGAAUUCCAGGUUAGGCUUUCCUCCCCCGUCGCUGGUUUCUGAGGAGCUUCAGAGGGUUUCACAGAAACCUUCUGAGGUGGAGGCUGGUUGUAUUCCCUCUUAUAGUCGACGAGCUCGAGACCCACGGAGAGCAAGGAAUUUGCCAGGUUCAUCGAGCUGAGGAGCGGUGGAGCAGGGUUUCCAAGGAGCUCGGCCGGCCCCAGAGCCCUUCAUCCUGGCCCCUUGUUAAUACUCUCUCAAAAGCCUAAAGGGAGAUAUUCAGAAACCACUUAACGUCCAUCAACAAGAGCAUCAAGUAGCCAUAAAAUAGACAACUUUGCAGUAGCUUCAUCUACUAACACGGAUGUAAGUUGAAUCACAACCAUGAACUCAAAAGUCACGCGUGAAUAUAGCAGUUCAGUAUCACUUAUAUGCCAUCUUACAAUAUAUAAAAAAAACAUAUUUUUACGGGUACGUAUGUGUAAUAGAGGCAAUACGUACACCAGGAUAAUAAACAUCAGGCUCCACAUAACAGUUCCGGCCGGACUACGCAGGCGAGUUCUAAUUCACCUUAAGGUCAAAAAGAAGAAAAUCCAAAGCAAGUCUGGCAUCACGUUAACAUUUGUCAAAAUCACGAACUGGGCAGUCAGCUGUUUCUUGCAUUAUUUUGUAAAACUUCGCGUGUGAAUUUUUCAUGACGACGUGACAACGCUACCACUGAUACAAACCUUAAACUCCUCUUGUCACAGUCCGCGCAACUUUUAUUUUUGUUGUCUCUCUGAUGUGUGAACACGUUGACGGGAAGGUGGACCCAUUCACCGCCCCCUUAGGGUGCUCAGGGCCCAGGACAUCCGCCGAGGCACCACCUGGGGAGCUCUCCCUGCGGCCGGGUGGGAAGGGGCCGACCCUAGGCACGCGGCCCCCUUGGUCCUGGGCCCGGAUUCCUCUCCCCUGGCCUGGCCUGGCUCCUUAGGGGGCUCCUGGUCCCUUGGCCUCCGAGAGCCGCGCAGGGAGCGGGCAUCCUGCCACCCUCCUGUGAAAGAAAAGGGUCCCUAUCCCCUUUGUCCCUAAGCCCUGGCAGGUGUUAUGCAAAUGUGUCAUCCUCUCAGGGGACUUUGAACUCCUCCCGCCAGAAGCAGGAAGGCAAUGGUCUCUAAGGAGACGAGGGCAGCGUGGCCACGAGGAAAUCCUCGUGAACCCGAAACUCCUCUCAUUAAGACGAGUCCCUGAAAUGGCUGGAAACGGCGGCCACUGCGGGAGGACCCGCGUCACCCUGACGCCCGGGAGCUGCCGACGCCUUCCAGUGGCAGCAUCACGCUCGGAGGCCGGAUCCUCGGCUCCCACCGACGCGGCUCGCCCGUAUUUAAAUUUCUCUUGAAGAAAAUCUGAGUGUGGUUAUGGUGAUAGUCUGUCCCUACCUUCAGGUCAUCUGCAAUCUAAA